This is an RNA transcript of Brienomyrus brachyistius, 3355 nucleotides long. It is a transcript of the gene named fibroblast growth factor 11-like, with no coding region annotated. NCBI's taxonomy places the organism in Eukaryota, Metazoa, Chordata, Actinopteri, Osteoglossiformes, Mormyridae. The transcript has 6 exons. The record is from RefSeq and is a predicted model, not a curated record.
GGAAAAUGGCGGCGCUCGCUAGCUCCCUGAUCCGACAGAAGCGUGCGGUGAAGGAUGAGCCAGCGAACCGGCCCGUCAGCAGCAAACGGCGGCCCUGCCCCAAGAGCAACAAGUCGCUGUGCCAGAAGCAGAUCCUGGUGCUCAUCUCCAAAGUGCGGCUGUGCAGCGGCCACAGAGGGCGAACCCAGAAACAGCCCGAGCCCCAGCUCAAAGGCAUUGUGACUCGUCUCUACUGCCAGUAUGGCUUUUACCUCCAGAUGCUACCUGACGGCACGAUGGAUGGCACACGGGACGAGAGUAGCUGCUUCUCACAGUUCAACGUGAUUCCAGUGGGCCUGAGGAUUGUGGCUAUCCAGGGUACCAAGACAGGACUGUACCUGGCUAUGAAUGGUGAAGGCUACCUCUACACCUCAGAACACUUCACAUCUGAGUGCAAGUUCAAGGAGAGUGUGUUUGAGAACUACUACAUCACCUACUCGUCCAUGCUGUACCGUCAGACCCAGUCUGGCCGGGCCUGGUACAUCGGCAUCAACAAGGACGGCCAGGUCAUGAAAGGGAAUCGGGUCAAAAAGUCCAAGCGUGCCAGCCAUUUUGUCCCCAAAGUCAUCGAUGGUCAGGCAGGGCCUGGUCCCUAUGCCAGUGGAAACACGCCAUUAUUCAGUGGCAGUGGAAGAAAGAAUGAGAAGUCAACAAAUAACUUAAGGUUCCUCUCCCCUCCUUCCCCUACAGUGGCAAUGUACAAUGAACCCCCACUACAUGAACUGCCUGAGCAGUGCCCCCCCGGUAAGACAGUCAAGACUCUGGACUCCUCCUCUGCCCCGAACGGCAGGAGAGAGCCCCCCAUCGCUGACGCCUCUUAGUCCCUGAAGCUCUGGGUUGGAGGCCCUAACCAGGAACACCUCGCAGUCACAGUAACGCUGGGAACUGUCAGUGUCCCAGUAUGCUCUGAAGGGUCCUAGUCCAGUGACCACGAAGAGGAGCAGAAGGAGGAACUGGGACAGAAUCCACAAGCCUGCAAAAAAAUAGAAGAGGCUGUCAUGAACCAGCCAGCUGGCCAGUUUUACUUCAUCCAUCUUUACUGGACAUCUGCUGAUUUCUCAGAAGAGAUCAUGAGGACCAUUCAAAUCUGAUUCCAAGUCUGUGAUGUGAAGCAAAUGUGGCGGUAACUGUCAUUCACACCUGAUUCUGACUGCAGCGGAUUAAGUUGUCCCAAACUGUUCAGAGGAAUGGAACUAUUUAUACUACAAAGACAAAAAGGGGUUCACUGACUCAUUGACAAGCCUGACUGUUCACUCCCACUCCCUGAUCCAGCCUCCUUUCUGUAAAGUACGAUGAGAGACUCCUUUUUCAAUGACAAGUCUGAGACUCUCAUCCUCUCGAUCUAAUCCGAACCCUCAUGAAAAAUGACCAGGUGUUGUCUCAGUGAGAGCCACCGAUUUCCCCCAGCAGAACGUACCCCUUGGUGUCUGGCACUGGAAAGUAAGCCUUUGCUCCUGGUUGCCCAGGGAUGAGCUGUUGGCUUUCGGAGAACAUCACUGGGGCACAAUCAAAUAUUGAGGGAUCACAAAGGUCUUCCAUUCCAGUGGGCUCUUUGUUAUUUUAAAAAUAUUUGCUGCUUAUUCAUUCAUUCAGGGAAUCUCGAUCGCUGAUGCGUUGAUGGUUAACUCAGUUGCCGUAUCUGAGGAACAUGAAGCAUUGGCUGUUGGCAGUUGCCACCCUUUUCGGUUAACUGUGUUUAGGAAUAAGGUAAUUUCCAUUGAUCAGAAACACUGGAUAAUGCUCCAUGUUCAGAACUUCAUCCAGCAUCGCCCAUCAUGCUUGUUAACCUUUCAGUGUGUUUGCUGGUGUGUGUCCAUAGGAGACCAUGCAUGAGAAAAAAGGUCAGUGUGAUUGUGUGUGUUUGUACCAAUAAAAGCAGUAGUCCAUUAAUGAGACUACAUAAUCAUUAGCAACAGCAAUAGCGUACAGACCAGUGGCAGUGUCAAGAGCAACAGCGCAGCACCGAGUCUGCAGAAUGACUACAAAGAGCAAUAAUGAAGCCAAAACAAAAUGCUAACAGCAAUAAUUAUAUACAGAAACGAACGGUAAUGUCUGUGUGAGUGAUAAUGAAAAUACAAAUAUGUCUAACAAGAGUUACACUUUGUAAGGCUGUGCCAGCCAUGUAGAAUUGUGUAGAGUUGAAUAAAAUUGUACAGGUUUGCGAUAUGCCCCUUCCAAUCACCAGAGCUAGGCUGCUCAAAUAAGUCCUGGAGGUGAGCCUAGUGCAAAUAUUCUGAAAUGACCUGAUCCACUCCUUCAAAAAGAAAAUUCUGACAUCACCAUAAAUACAUGGGUUUGGGUUUGAUAUAAUAUCCUGGCAUUAAUCCAGACUAUGUUUCUUUUCUUUAGAUUGUACAUUUGGCAUCAAUUCAACUAACGUGAUUCUUUUAAAAUAUAUUUAUAUAUAAUCUAAAAUACAGUACCACACAAAAGUUUGGACACGCCAAGCCGCCCACAAAGGAGAGUGAUUGUGUCGCAUCACAUGACCUGGUCACCUGACGGAAACACAGUAGAAAUGGUUUUGGAGGAGUCUGACCAGAGAGUAAAGGAAAAGCAGCCAAUGAGAGCUCAGCAUAUGUGGGCCCUCCUUCAGGACAGCUGGAAAAGCAUCCCAGGAGGCCACCUCAUGAAACUGGCGUAAAGGAGACAGUAGGGUCAGGCAGUCCCUGGAGCAACUGGAGUUAAGUGCCUCGCUCAAGGGUCCAGUGGUGGGAUCACUCUGCCGACCCAGGGAUUUGAACCAGCAACCUUCUGAGUUCCAACCCACAGAGCUGCCCUGCCCCAACAAAUCAUUUUUUAAAUAUAUUUUUCAUCAGUGCAUAAUUCCAUAUGUGUUAUUCAUAGUUUUUAUGUCUUUAUAAUUAUUCUGAAAUGUAGAGAAUAGUACAAAAAAUCUUUCCAUGGGUAGGUGUGCCCAAACUUUUUACUGGUAUUGUACAUGUUUCUACUUUCGCAUGGAGUCCGUAUUUUAUUUGUUCAAAUGCAGCAUUCUGGCAUCUACUGGCUUUAUUUUAAUUAUCUCAAAUCAGCUGAUGAACCCAACCCUCCAGUUUUUUUUUCAUGGGGAGCCUUUUGCAUUAUACUUGAUUGUGACCUAAUCAGGGCUCCUCUGGUUCAGUAGAAAUAUUGAAUUGUAUCUUUGUGUUUCUGCAUUGUCACUGAUGCCAUUUGCUCAUGGUGUAUCUUUGUUGAAAUGUACUGCUUCACAUCAUAGGUUACUAAUGUAAGGUGGUCUUUCUCAGAAGGAAAUGUUCAUGGUGGAAUGGUUUGAUUUGUAAUAACUGCUGGAAAGAAACUCAGGAUUUUUGCUCCAUGU